GACGAACGCUGGCGGCGUGCCUAAUACAUGCAAGUCGAACGCACUCUCGUUUAGAUUGAAGGAGCUUGCUCCUGAUUGAUAAGCAUUUGAGUGAGUGGCGGACGGGUGAGUAACACGUGGGUAACCUGCCCUAAAGUGGGGGAUAACAUUUGGAAACAGAUGCUAAUACCGCAUAAAACCUAGCACCGCAUGGUGCAGGGUUGAAAGAUGGUUUCGGCUAUCACUUUAGGAUGGACCCGCGGUGCAUUAGUUAGUUGGUGAGGUAAAGGCUCACCAAGACCGUGAUGCAUAGCCGACCUGAGAGGGUAAUCGGCCACACUGGGACUGAGACACGGCCCAGACUCCUACGGGAGGCAGCAGUAGGGAAUCUUCCACAAUGGACGAAAGUCUGAUGGAGCAACGCCGCGUGAGUGAAGAAGGUUUUCGGAUCGUAAAACUCUGUUGUUGGAGAAGAAUGUAUCUGAUAGUAACUGAUCAGGUAGUGACGGUAUCCAACCAGAAAG
Molecule: ribosomal RNA, 503 nt
Filed under: uncultured bacterium
Lineage: Bacteria
Description: bacterial SSU rRNA
Rfam family: Bacterial small subunit ribosomal RNA
Source: RNAcentral